Molecule: ribosomal RNA, 276 nt
Filed under: Staphylococcus aureus
Lineage: Bacteria; Bacillati; Bacillota; Bacilli; Caryophanales; Staphylococcaceae
Also listed under: 1 other name
Description: partial 16S ribosomal RNA
Rfam family: Bacterial small subunit ribosomal RNA
Source: RNAcentral
UUUUAUGGAGAGUUUGAUCCUGGCUCAGGAUGAACGCUGGCGGCGUGCCUAAUACAUGCAAGUCGAGCGAACGGACGAGAAGCUUGCUUCUCUGAUGUUAGCGGCGGACGGGUGAGUAACACGUGGAUAACCUACCUAUAAGACUGGGAUAACUUCGGGAAACCGGAGCUAAUACCGGAUAAUAUUUUGAACCGCAUGGUUCAAAAGUGAAAGACGGUCUUGCUGUCACUUAUAGAUGGAUCCGCGCUGCAUUAGCUAGUUGGUAAGGUAACGGCU